This 394-nucleotide ribosomal RNA is filed under the name Acanthamoeba sp. RNAcentral describes it as "SSU rRNA". It matches the Rfam family "Eukaryotic small subunit ribosomal RNA", at positions 762 to 1116 of the family's 1831-position model. The record is from RNAcentral. Lineage: Eukaryota; Discosea; Longamoebia; Acanthamoebidae.
AAAAUUAGAGUGUUCAAAGCAGGCAGAUCCAAUUUUCUGCCACCGAAUACAUUAGCAUGGGAUAAUGGAAUAGGACCCUGUCCUCCUAUUUUCAGUUGGUUUUGGCAGCGCGAGGACUAGGGUAAUGAUUAAUAGGGAUAGUUGGGGGCAUUAAUAUUUAAUUGUCAGAGGUGAAAUUCUUGGAUUUAUGAAAGAUUAACUUCUGCGAAAGCAUCUGCCAAGGAUGUUUUCAUUAAUCAAGAACGAAAGUUAGGGGAUCGAAGACGAUCAGAUACCGUCGUAGUCUUAACCAUAAACGAUGCCGACCAGCGAUUAGGAGACGUUGAAUACAAAACACCACCAUCGGCGCGGUCGUCCUUGGCGUCGGUCUUUCGGGGCCGGCGCGGGGACGGCU